GUGGGAUGCCUCAUGGCAGGAUGUGGCCACAUCAGCCGUCAGGGAGCCUCUCUCAGCCUGACACUGUAUAUAGCACAGAGCUGUGAACAGAAGGCCUGUGUUGUCUCUGCACUGAACUGCCAGACGCGCCCCCUCUUAUCGAUGAGUUCUCUACCUGGCCAGUUCUCUACCUGGACAUUGCCUUUUACUGUAUGUGCGAUGACAAAGAAAAGGGAAGAUGGAGCCUCCACGUUGAACACACCUGGCCCCCAGGUAGCCCUUUUCUAUUGGCACAGCUGCUGGCAUUUACACGUGAAAGCUUCCAGCUUGCUUAUCUAUGUUUACAGCUCGAUUUUUCAGGCUGCUCUUUGUUAGAAAAAAUAAUUUCUUGGGCUGCUUUUUGUUAGAAGGGAAGCCUUGCUGAGGACUCUUUUACCCUCACUAUCGGCCUAAAUGAUUUCUUUCUGUCUCCUGUAUCAACAUCUCAGUGGUCCUCAGUGAGGACAGGUAACCAGUGGCAUCAGGGGCUCCUUGUUCACUGGUGAAAACCCUCAAUAUUGGCACCUUUCAUUUCCCUGGGGUUGAGUGCAUGAGAAUUGCCCCAAGAAGGAAUGAAGUUUAAUUUUCUUUGGCUCCUGAAGUAGUGCGUAAGCUGAUUAUAGAAAACAAAGACCAUUAAUAUUUCUUACAUCCUAGAGUCUGGAGACUGAGGUUUAUGCCUAUUGCAUUAUUUCAGAAAAGAGAUUUGGUCGUGAACUUUGCUCCAAGACACUGCUUGGACAGGGGAGCAGAAGUGUUAGCAACCUGGACACGGUCUCCAUCUAGUGGUCAUACUAUGUAACAGCACUUGCACACAGCUCCGAGAGGUUCUGUAUUCU
Molecule: long non-coding RNA, 857 nt
Filed under: Callithrix jacchus (white-tufted-ear marmoset)
Lineage: Eukaryota; Metazoa; Chordata; Mammalia; Primates; Cebidae
Description: lncRNA (ENSCJAG00000080737.1)
Source: RNAcentral